ACGAACGCUGGCGGCGUGCUUAACACAUGCAAGUCGAACGGAAAGGCCCCUUUGGGGGUACUCGAGUGGCGAACGGGUGGGUAACACGUGAGUAACCUGCCCUUGACUUCGGGAUAACUUCAGGAAACUGGGGCUAAUACCGGAUAGGAAUCCUUGCUGCAUGGUGGGGGUUGGAAAGCUUCGGCGGUUUUGGAUGGACUCGCGGCUUAUCAGCUUGUUGGUGGGGUAGUGGCUUACCAAGGCUUUGACGGGUAGCCGGCCUGAGAGGGCGACCGGCCACAUUGGGACUGAGAUACGGCCCAGACUCCUACGGGAGGCAGCAGUGGGGAAUAUUGCACAAUGGGCGGAAGCCUGAUGCAGCAACGCCGCGUGCGGGAUGACGGCCUUCGGGUUGUAAACCGCUUUCAGCAGGGGCGAAGCUUGUGGUGACGGUACCUGCAGAAGAAGCACCGGCUAACUACGUG
RNAcentral lists this ribosomal RNA (464 nucleotides) under uncultured bacterium. RNAcentral describes it as "partial 16S ribosomal RNA". It matches the Rfam family "Bacterial small subunit ribosomal RNA", at positions 29 to 507 of the family's 1533-position model. The record is from RNAcentral.